UGUGACGCUCUCCCCAAGGACGAAGCCAUGCUGGCCCGCUCACCCGGGACGCUGCGGACGGCUCAGGACAACGGUUGCACCCCCCGUGACGGUUUCCUGAUAGCCGGACACCGCUGGCAACCCGGCGCCAAGACGUGCGCGCAAGGGCGGGCGCCCGCGGGCGAGCAGCGUGACGCAG
Molecule: ribosomal RNA, 178 nt
Filed under: Giardia duodenalis
Lineage: Eukaryota; Fornicata; Diplomonadida; Hexamitidae
Description: Giardia intestinalis partial 18S ribosomal RNA
Source: RNAcentral